RNAcentral lists this non-coding RNA (27 nucleotides) under Mus musculus (house mouse). Lineage: Eukaryota; Metazoa; Chordata; Mammalia; Rodentia; Muridae. The record is from RNAcentral.
UAAAAAGGAAAGUAGUCGUUGGCUGGA